AAAGCUCACUUAUCUGCUGUGUAUUUUACACUUUAACACUGCCACUACUGGGACGAGAACACUGCACAUCUGCUACUCGUGGAAACAGGUUAUAAACAACACAAUGGACUACAGGGUUAUACUGGCUAUGUUAUGUCUGACUGUCACAUGUGCUGCAAUCGACGAUACAACAACCACCAC
Molecule: long non-coding RNA, 180 nt
Organism: Clarias gariepinus (North African catfish)
Lineage: Eukaryota; Metazoa; Chordata; Actinopteri; Siluriformes; Clariidae
Exons: 3
Source: RefSeq, a predicted model, not a curated record